This 296-nucleotide long non-coding RNA is filed under the name Lathyrus oleraceus (garden pea). RNAcentral's name for it is "Pisum sativum (pea) long non-coding RNA (PSAT_LNC005903)". Lineage: Eukaryota; Viridiplantae; Streptophyta; Magnoliopsida; Fabales; Fabaceae. The record is from RNAcentral.
UUUGUGAGAUUGGGAGAGAACGAGGAGAAAGGCAUCUGUUACUAUUCCCAUUUUUUUUCUUUAAUUUAUUUUAAACAGAAUAAGUUUUUUGAAACCAUUAAAAAUUUUGUUUAAACUUCCUAAGUUUAGUUAAUAAAUAUUUCCUCCUUUUCAAUUCAUAUUCUCUUUGAAAAACCCAACAGCCAGGCGGCUAGGGUAUCUUUCUUUGUUUUCUCCCAUUUGGUAGUCCAACAGACUACUUCCUUUUAGUUUCUAUUUUCUUUUUUAAUAAAAAAAACUUUUAUUCUUUUUUUUUN